GGGGAUAUCGUCUAGUAGUUGUGAUCAGUAAGUGUUCAUUUCGACUUUUUCUGUUUGUGACGUCUGAGACAUGAAAUGGAGUGAUAUCAGUCUUUUUCCAACUUUCCAGCAAAAUCCCAGACUUUGCUCAUAUUUCUGAAAUCCCUGUUAUUCUGUGACUGUAUGUUUUGGCUGAUAGGCUGAAUUUGUAGCCAAUCUGGUGUCAUGCCGCUAGUAUAACUGUGCUCACAGGGAUGCAGCAUUUCUGCACAACACUGCACCUCCUCUGAUCUCUUUAUUUAAAAAUUGAAUUUAUCAACAAACACUAAAGAGAUUUGCUGCUUUGGCUAUGGUGGUUACUAGAUUUCCAAUAUUUUAGAUAUCACUUUAUAACAAGUAUCGUUAACUCAUCUUUUUGUUUAUUGACUUUAUUGCUCUAAGAAUUAAAGUUAACCUGUGUCCAAAUAGAACUAGCUGAACUUGUUCUCAUUGUUUACUGGUUUGCUAACCUAGGGUGUGGUGAUUGUGAAAGGAUAGUAAGUUAUUAAGCAAGUAUCUUGUGCAAGAAAAGUUCUAUUUCUGAGGUUCUGUUGCCAUAAUGACUCAUUUGCACUUUAAUAGUUCUGUUUGGAAAUAAUGAUCACAGUUUGUUCAGUUUAUUUAGUAUUCUUUUUUAAAUUUAUCUUCAUCAAUUAAGUCACCAGACUUCGAUCUUAAAGUAGGAUCAUUUUAACACUUUAUAAAAACCUUCAUAUGGGAUUAGUUGUAAACAUACUGCACCAGAUUGAAUGCGGAAAAAUUCUUGUAUCCUUUAAAAUUCCCAUUUGGCUUGUUUUUGAUAAAAAAAAAUUUCCUCAUUUGAAACUUUUCUUUUCAAAACAUUAAAAAUUUACAGUAAUGUGCAAAGUUGUGACCCAUUCUUCAUUUCUUUAUAUUUAGUGUUCAAGGAUGCUCUUGUGCUUCUAAAGUUUAAUGUUUGUUUCCAGUGUCUUUUCUCUAAUGUGGAUCUGUAGUUACAGUCAGAGCUGUAUCCUGAUGAGCAGUGUUGCAGUCUUCAAGUCCACUGCAGGGUCCAGCAGAAUUUCUGGAAGUGGAGAAACUGGAGCAAACAAUUUUCUAUGUGUGGCAGUGAUGUCCAACAUACUGUCAAUGCAAUAACAGCAUACCUCACAUGGAUUGGUCUUGCCAGAGGCCAGACCUCAACAUCGCUGAAGCAGUGUGGGACCAUGUUGAUGGAUAAUGGAACAAUGUCCUUCAAGAAGUCUGGAGACCUUUUCUGGAGAGCUCAGGCUGUGUUGAAGAAGAAAGGUGGUCCUACCAAAUCUGGACUUUCAAGUUUAUUAGAAUUGUUCAAACUCUUUAAAAUAAUCGCUGCACCUUUUUCCCAUUUUCCUACAAAAAUAUAAAGAAAUAAGGAGUGAGUCAAGACACAGUACGGUGUAUAGACAGAUAUAGUAGCGAGUGAAUACAAGAAAGUUUCUUCAAUUGAAGGCCAGUCAUGGUUUAAUUACAAUGCAGGCAACAUGUUCACACAUAUGCGCACAAACUAUUCAGCAAUCAUUCUAACAGUUUUUAGCAAGAAAUUUCACUUCACCACCAAAUAAAUAUGAAACAGCUUUCUGGUAUCAAGAUACAUGACUCUAUACAGUAGAGCUUAGAACAUGAAAGAAAAAUAUCAACGACCAAAUGUGGACUUUAAUAUUAACAUAAAGUGAUCACCUAAAAGGCCUGACAAUGCAGAGAAAAAUACUUUAUGACUCUGUAAUAAAAACUCCGCUGUCAUGUGUAUAGUGCAACAUAUUUGUGAAUGAGUGUUUCACUAUCAAUGUACUGAGGCCGCUACGAUAAGUAAAUUAGCUUUUCAGUUUCUUCCGGUGUGCUAGAAAGUUCUACAAGCCUGGCUUAUUGUUAUCGCUGUUGUUACCAUAGGACACACUCCUAUUCUCUGCACUUUCAAACUCAGCGCUGCUAGGGGGUUAAAAAAACCAAUGUGAAACCUGCCUUUAAGGUUUAUGGCUUCACCCACAACUACAGCUGCUCCAACGCUGUAAUAUUUAAGUGGUGAGAAUGAGGGAACACAGAGAACAAUCCAAGGUGGAGACUGUGUAGCAAAACCUACCUAACAAAAGAAAGCACAACAAGAACUGACACACUUCCAAAUAUUUCUGCAGAACAUUUUUACUACAAGGUGCCAAAAUGUCUUCUGUCUGGGCCAAAAAUAUCAUCCAAGAUCAACAUGUACACGGAGGAAAUUACAUGAUAUUAUCUUUCAGCACUUUUUCCAGAAAUGUUUAAAUCCACAAUAUGGAAAAGAAAGGGAAUCACCACAUCAUCAGUUGAAAUAUGGUACAUAACAAAUAUGUAAAACAAUAUAUCUAAAUAAAUAAAUGAAUAUAAAUAAAUGCUGUGGGGGCGAGUAUCAAACGCACCAGUUGUCUUAACUGCUGACACAUCAAGUCUUCUCAUGAACAUGUGAAUGAUAAAGGUUUUUUUUUAAGUCCAUGAAGCAUUUGUGUAAUAGUCUAAUAUUAACAGAUAACUUGUGUUCACAUUGUUCUUGUUUGACAGGAGCAAUGUCUUGUCUUUUCUCUCACUCAUGCUAACCAUGCCCUGGAGUCUUGCCGGGAUAAUCAAAGUGAUUGCUUCAUUAUUAUGUAACACUGGCUGUAGGCCAUUGUUGACUUGCUAUAGGAAAAUCUGGGGACAUUUAUUUGGAACAAACUCACAUCCCUGUGACAACACUGUGUGAUUUACCUCUCCAAAGGUAAAUAGUGAAGAAAUGCAACUAAUGACGUUUGUUUGGAGAGAGGAGAGCAAAGUCAACAAAAUACGUUUCAAAAGCACAUACAGCAAUGGUCAAAAGUCAGUUCUUUUUCCAGUGUGGAAUGAUUGUACAGCAUACAUCCUUAAUGACUUAAAAAAAAGAAGAAUUGGAUGCACAACUUUGAAUUUAUUUUGGAUUUUCUCUGAUCUAUACAUGAUCAAAAGUAAUUAUAUAGGCUCAAAUAUACAGAUACACCUCCACGUACAUUUUGGUUAAAUGUCCCUUAGAAAGUUUCACCUCAACCAGAUGCUUUUGACAGCCAUUAACAAGCUUCUGGCAUGAUUCUAAUUUCAUAUUUGACCGCACGUCUUGGCACAGUUAUUAGAAUUCCUUUGAAUUGGUUGGUUUCCUGGCACAGACCCGGUUUUUAAGCAUAGACCACACAUUUUUAAUGACGUUGAAGUCUGGGCUUUGGGAAGGCCAUUCCAGAAGUUUAAUGUUAGCCUUCUUCAUCCAUUCUAAAGCCAGUUUUUAUGUCUGUUUGGGUCCUGCUGGGACACCCAGUUGCCUCCAUGUUUCAACUGUCUAGCUGUUGGUUUGAGAUUAAGAAUCUGGAGGUAGUCCUCCUUCCUCGUUGUUCCAUCCACCUUCAGCAAUGUAUCAGUAUCACUGACAGCAAAACAGCACCAUAGCAUUAUGCUACCACCACCAUGCUUGACAGUUGGUACAGAUACACCACCUCUUGUCACUGUGCCCUCCAUGGUAGAGAGGUUUGUGUGUCUCAGGCAUCCCAGGAGCCAUGUUGUCUGGGGGCUUUUGCACCCUUGUAGGGUAUCCCAUGGCAACUUGGUCCUGGGUGAGGGACCAGACAAAGAGCGAUUCAGAAGACCCUUAUGAGAAUAUCACCGGGGGAACAGCUUAUCCUGCCCGGGAUAGGGUUACUGGGGCCACGCCCUGGAGUCAGGCCCGGGGAGGGUGCCCGUGGGCAAGCGUCUGGUGGCCGGGCCACCAGACGUCCAUGGAAGCCAGCCAGGCACAGCCCGAAAAGGGGCCCACCACCCGCAGGAGGCGCCGUAGGGGUCGGGUGCACUGUGUGCCAGGCGGCGGCCCUGGCGGACUGAUCCCCGGCUACCAAGACCAGCCCGGAGAUUUAUUUGGCUUGAAAACCUCAACUUUACUCAUCCAAACCUCUUCUCACUGUGGCCAAAUAGCCCAAUCUCUCUCAUUUGUCAAUUUUCUCCACAAGGUAUUCCGCUUGUCCAUGUGGUCAGCUGCAAAUUUCAGUUGAGCUUGAAGGUGGUCAAUCCAGAAACUACCAGUUGUAGCCAGUCAUGAUUAUUAAUGAGGUCAAUUCAAAUUGGAGUUAAUAUGUGUUGCACAACUUUCAGCACCAGUUAUUAAAGGAUUUAAGUAAGUGUAUGUCUGCAUAGUGCAUGUAUACUUUUGACCCUUUGUAGAUUAGAGAAAAUCCUGAAUACAAACUUUAGCACCUAGUUCUUUUUUUUUUAAGUCAUUAAAGAUGUGUGCUGUACUCUGGAAAAAGAACAGCUCGAUGAAAUAAUUAAAAGCCCCAAAUUACCAACUUCUGGCCACAAUUGUCACUUUUAUAUGAGUAUGAAAACAUUUCAUUUGUUCCUGUUUGAGUAAACUGACUUAUUUUCCUAUCUUGUGGAAACUACACUGUUCAUUGUCCUCUUUUUGUAUACAAAUAACAUUAACACAAUAUACAAAAAUGAAUGAAAUGACAGAGACUAAGAAGCCAUAUGUUUGUGCAAAGGACACCCUAAAUGCAACAUAAAGGAACAGAUUAAAGUGCAUUUACCUCGUGCACUGUUACCUACUUUGUUAUCUGGUCAUUGACUGCAAUAGUCUGCAGUAGUCUAACUGUGCAUGUGAAACUGACACAGAGAACAUGAUGAAGCCUGCUGUUUCGGUGCACGUACGCUUUACUUUUCAAAAGCACGUUAUCUUUCUGAUUCACAAGUGGUACAGUUAAUACACUUGUUGGCUUGCCAGUGAAAUGUGGCAGACCUUGAUCUCUGGUUCUUUAAUACUGUUAUCAGUGCACUUUUACCAAAAUGUUUUUGCUAGUCAAGUUAAUGGCCAAUCAAUAUUUCCCUCAAACCAAAGUACACAUACAAACGUGUACAUCAAUGCAGCUGUUUGCUUUCUUUCCAUCCUGGUACCACACUAUUGUCACCUGUGAAUAAAAUGCUGGAGUACUUUUAUAUGACUAUGAACAGAUAAUCAGUGAGUUAACACCAGUGCUGCAUCUCUCUGUAUAUAGAAACAUUCACCAGCCACCAAAUUAUCUAUACAACUGCUUGUUAAUGCAAAUAUCUACUUAGCCAAUGGCAUGCCAGCAACUCAAGUCAUGUAGACAUGGGGAAGAAAGGUGGUUUAAGUGACUUUGAAUGUGGGAUGGCUGUUGGUGCUAGACAGGAUGGCCUAUUUCAGAAUCUGCCGAUCUACUGGGAUCUACUCUUCUCCCACACAACAAUCUCAAGCAUUUAGAGAGAAUGUUCGGAAAAAAAGAAAAUAUCUGUGAGCUGCAGUUUUCUGAGUGCAAAUGCCUUGUUGAUGCCAGAAGAAUGCUUUGAGCUUAUCGAAAUGCAACAGUAACUCAAACUGGUCGAACCUUGAAGCACAUGGGCUACAGCAGCAGAAGAGUACAUCGGGUUCUGCUCCUAUCAGCUAAGAACUGAAAACCGAGCCUCAGUUCACAUAGGCUCACCAAAAUUGAACAUUAAAAAAUUGUCCUUGAUCUGGGGCUGGAGGCUAUCCCAGGUGCCAUAGGGCAAGAGGCAGGGUACACCCUGGACAGGUUGCCAGUCUGUCACACGGCUAACACAUAGAGACAGACAAACAUUCACACUCAUGGACAAUUAAAAGUUUCCAAUUAACCUAACCCCACUAACUGCAUGUCUUUGGAAUGUGGGAGGAAGCCAGAGUACCUGGAUAGAGCCCACACAAAAACACAGGGAGAACAUCCAAACAGAAAGAUCCCGGUCUGAUGGCGGUAUUGAACUCAUGACCUUCUUGCUAUGAGAUAACAGUGCUAACCACCAUGCCGCCUGUGGUAAGGGUUUAAUGUUUAAUUAAAGUACUGUUGCUGACUACGGCCAUCACUUCAUGACCGCCCAUCGUACCUAUUGUCUGAUGUAGGAUAUGUCGCAAAGUCAGAUUAUCUCAAAUUUCUGUCUUGAACAUGAUGGUGAGUUCAUUGUACUCAAAUGACCUCCGUAUACAACCAAUAUUAAUCCAACAGUGCACCUUUAGGAUGUAGUGGAAUGGGAGGUUUGCUAUGUGCAGCUGAUUAUUUUGCAGAAAUUGUGUGAUGCGAUCGUUUCAAUAUGAAAUACAAUCUCCAAGGAAUGUUUCCAGCACCUUUACGACUUUAUACCACGAAGAAUAGGGACUCCGACAUGGUAUUGACAAAAUGCGUUAAAUAAAGUGCCUGUUGGUGUAUAAUACAUCAGCAGGAGAUAUUAAAGGUUAGAAAUUACUAAACUAAACUAUUCACUAUGUUGCUUUGGUGUUGUAACACUGGAACUUUUGAUAAUGUCUCUCAAUUACACUAUGUGGAAUUUUAGGCAGAAUUUAGUAUAGUAACUUGAUUUUGAGUAUAGUAACUUGAGUUUUUCUUAAUUUUUCUUCAUUUUUGCAUAAGGACAAGUAUGUAACAUGAAUUAGGGAACACACCACAGCAUCUAUAGCCUAGUCUAGUCUGCAAUGCCCGCCCCUUUAAAACAGAAGAAAAUCAAUACGCAGCCUAAAACACAAAAAUCAAACACAACAAAUGAUAGGACGGACUAAAAUACCCUAACAAGACAGCAAGUUAUUCAUGGUUACACGACUGGUUAAUAUUUAAAAACUGUUUCUGUUUGAUUUUCAAAAGAUCCCAGAUAGACCCACCUUUAAUUUCUUACAGCAACAAAUACCCCAAAUAUACUUUGGCCAAAUGUAGAUUUCCAUAGAGGCAGCUUGUAAUUACCAACCAACGCUCCAAAUGUUACUGAGCCCACAACUUUCAUUACUAAUACUGUUCCUGGUUAGAAAGCUAAGAUUUAAGUGAUUUUAAAGGUUUAUCCAAAGAAAUUUAAGCUUAAAUAUUAUAUGAAUAACAAUAGGCAUUGGAGAAAAUACAGAAAAUGAAAAAUAAAGACAAAACAGAUUGAAACCUUCUGAAAGAGUAAUGGUGUUUAAUGGACUACAGUUAUGGCCAGAUUUAUCAAUUACUGCAUCAGAAAACUCUAGCAUGUUGACAGCACUAUAAGAAGUGGUUUGCUGUGAAGCUAAACACUAAACAAAUACAGUUACAAUCACAAUAUGCUAAAAUCCUCAGAGAAAGUAACCUAAAUAUAUUUUCUGCCAAUAAAAGUCGCUUCACUUCCCCUGGUCAAACCUUUAAUAUGAACACAUUUAAGAGCUGAUUUAAACACUCUUUCAGUGUACGUAAGAUCCUGCAAAUAAAUUACAAGCAUGACACUUUAAAAACAACACGGCUCUAAACCUUUACAACUAAUUCUCCAAAUGCAAAAAGAGAAAAAAAAA
Molecule: long non-coding RNA, 7297 nt
Organism: Oreochromis niloticus (Nile tilapia)
Lineage: Eukaryota; Metazoa; Chordata; Actinopteri; Cichliformes; Cichlidae
Exons: 2
Source: RefSeq, a predicted model, not a curated record